RNAcentral lists this ribosomal RNA (449 nucleotides) under uncultured bacterium. Its description in RNAcentral is "partial 16S ribosomal RNA". It matches the Rfam family "Bacterial small subunit ribosomal RNA", at positions 330 to 795 of the family's 1533-position model. The record is from RNAcentral.
CCCAGACUCCUACGGGAGGCAGCAGUGGGGGAUAUUGCACAAUGGGGGGAACCCUGAUGCAGCGACGCCGCGUGGGUGAAGGAGUAUUUCGGUAUGUAAAGCCCUAUCGGCAGGGAAGAAGCAAGACGGUACCUGACUAAGAAGCCCCGGCUAACUACGUGCCAGCAGCCGCGGUAAUACGUAGGGGGCGAGCGUUAUCCGGAUUCACUGGGUGUAAAGGGAGCGUAGACGGCCAAGCAAGCCAGGGGUGAAAGCCCGGGGCCCAACCCCGGGACUGCCCUUGGAACUGCUUGGCUGGAGUGCGGGAGGGGCAGGCGGAAUUCCUGGUGUAGCGGUGAAAUGCGUAGAUAUUAGGAGGAACACCAGUGGCGAAGGCGGCCUGCUGGACGAUGACUGACGUUGAGGCUCGAAAGCGUGGGGAGCAAAUAGGAUUAGAUACCCCAGUAGAC